This 253-nucleotide ribosomal RNA is filed under the name uncultured bacterium. RNAcentral's name for it is "partial 16S ribosomal RNA". It matches the Rfam family "Bacterial small subunit ribosomal RNA", at positions 524 to 776 of the family's 1533-position model. The record is from RNAcentral.
UACGUAGGGUGCAAGCGUUGUCCGGAAUUAUUGGGCGUAAAGAGCUCGUAGGCGGUUUGUCGCGUCUGCUGUGAAAACUCGGGGCUUAACCCCGGGCCUGCAGUGGGUACGGGCAGACUAGAGUGUGGUAGGGGAGACUGGAAUUCCUGGUGUAGCGGUGAAAUGCGCAGAUAUCAGGAGGAACACCGAUGGCGAAGGCAGCCCCCUGGGUCAAAACUGACGCUCAUGCACGAAAGCGUGGGGAGCAAACAGG